This 3669-nucleotide long non-coding RNA is filed under the name Helianthus annuus (common sunflower). The record is from RNAcentral. Lineage: Eukaryota; Viridiplantae; Streptophyta; Magnoliopsida; Asterales; Asteraceae.
UUAUACUAAAGCAAAAUAGUGUUGACUAUUUGACCAUGAUGUGGCUAUUCUCUUUGGCCAGAGAAUUGGGUUUUAGGCGACAUUUCUCUCAAUUCUCACAAUUAAUUCAUUCUUCUUUCAAACGCUUCUUAGAUUAUAUAUGGAAAGUUGAACGAUUCAUCAAUUACCGGAAGAUCUGUUGCUAAAUUAUGGAACCAUUUCCAAUUUUAAGGCCUAUAUACAAUUUAGUGCUUUUAAUCGGAGGAUUCAAAGGAUCAUUCAAGUCGGCUGCUUUGUUUUAUCUUCAUCAUCCUUCUAAAGUGAAGCAUCGGUAUGGAUCGUGGCUUUCUGGUUCAUAUGACGGAUCCGUAUAAAUCUGAAUUGAUCUCAACAACAACAAGAAGUUUUGACCUGGUUGCUUGAGCCUUUAGGCCAUCAGCGGACUCAACUCGAGUGGAAAAAUACAUAUUUACAGGUCUGGUUAAACUGCAUCAUGUGUUCUAUAUCCAUUGCCUUCUCAUCAUCUGUUGUAAGUUGUAACAACAAGAAGUUUUGACCUGGUUGCUCGAGACUUUCAAGUUUGUGAUAGUUGGAAGUAGAAAUGCUGAUAGGAAUUUCGUCAAACAUGGGAUGACUGAUGGAAAUUUGGUAAAAUGAGGCAAGAUGGUGUUGCCAUCAGACCGAAAGUUGUUAUAACAAUGGCGAUGGUUUGGUGGUUUCAAGCCAAGCAGAGGCGGUGAUGGUGUUCAGCGAAUCAGCGGCUGCUUGAGAUGACUGGUUUUGGUUAUAGUUGAUUUUAAGUGACAAGCGACUAGGGUUCCAAACGCGAUCUCCUGGUUACAGGUUGGUGAGUGUGUUGACUAGCGACAAUGGUUUUUGACUUCGACCGUGAGGAUGGAAGGCACCUGGUUCAGAAUACGGAACUGCAUGUCGGCUUCCCCGCCAAUUUUAUAACUAGGUUAACAUUUCCUCUUUCUUUUUUCUGAUUUUCUCCGCAAUUUUUGUGUUUUGUAACUUAAUUUUCGCAAUAUUUGAUCAUGUCUAUAAGGUAUUUGAUGAAAUGCGCUGCUGGGUUAUCUCUUAAUAAAAUCUUUCUAACUUCUGUCAUGUGUUUAAUGGGUUUGCAUGGAACUGAUUGAUAUAAAUCUAUAAUAGUUUCUGAUGAUUUGUGUGAAUAUAUGCUUCUGAGUAUUCUAAAAGUUGGUUUAUAUCACAACUAAUUGACAAAACAUAUUGGAAGCUCCAAUGGCAUUUUAUUGUUGACAACAAGAUCAGGUCUCACAAGACGUACCCUGCUGGUUUCAUGGAUGUUGUUUCUAUUCCCAAGACCAAUGAAAGCUUCGGUUUUCUUUACGACACAAAGGGUAGAUUUAGACUGCACUCAAUCAGAGACGAGGAGUCAAAGGAGAUGGAUGCUCUGAAAGACAAGAAUUUAGUUGCAAUUACUCUGCAACAGAGGAGCUACAGAGGAGCUACCAUACGGUCGAUGGGUUGUGUCCAUCUGCUCUGCACAUUGCGAGACGACACGAGCCAUGUGCUUUUGUGGUGAAGGAACCAAAUACCCGAAUCGUCCUGUUGUUGAGUCAUGCGGGUUUCAAAUAUAGUAAGCCUAUGAAUUAUAGCUUUCCGUUCUGGGCAGGUUGGGUUUGGGUUGACCCAUGAACAUUUUUUCUAUUAAAAUAAUAUGUUAAGUAUAUAUUUGAUUCAUCUGAGAUAUGAUGUGACUCAAUUCGACCCAUUCACAAGUAGGUGAGUCAGAAUUGCCACCUUUACUAAUUCAUAAAACCAACCCUCUUAACCAACUUACCUUCUGAACCUGGUGCACCAAAGGCAGUUAACUGGUCAAAAGUUGACCAUGAAAAUAUAUACAAAGAAAAGCGUGCUUGGUUGGUGUAAUGUAGAUCUGGUUGAAGCUUAUAAUUCGAAGGUUGAGAGUUUCCAAUAUCUACCGAAACUCAUGGAGAGCAGAUGUUAUCAUCACUUCAUAAAUGGGUACAUCCUUACGGGUCACUCAAGGUUAUCUGAUUGUUCUUGCUGUGAUGAAGGUGGAUCCAUGUGGAUCAACGGGUUUGAUUUUGAGAAGAUGCAUGAUGUAGAGGCUGAAAGAGUUCCUGAAGUAUGAAUCGGGUGUCCAUAGAGUUCAAAGCGAUCCUAAAAAGACUUCAACUGCCACCGUGGCCAUCUUGCCAAUGGGAUGAGGUGGUUAGUGUCACUUUGUGGGACGAGUAUAUAUAUAGAGGACAUGCUCACCCUUUGCGCGUGAGCCUUCGACGGGUCAAACACAGUUUGUGUUGUGCACAUGGCCCUCACAGGCUAAGGUAGAAAUUGUUUCGUGUUUCAGCAUAUAGAAGGUCUUUCACGUAUUUAAAUGGUCAGGAUUUUUUACAAUUUGUAUAAGAGUUGAAGGAAAAAACUUAAGGGAUCGGACUUUUUAGGACUGAGCAUAUGGUAAUCUUUUCAAUGUUCUCAUCUCUGAUGUGAAUAUAUUCACAUCUAUUAUAAUCGCUAACACAUAUUCGAUUCGGGUUAUUUCAACUUUUGAUAAUUUCAGUUCUUUGCUUCCACUGAGAGGAUAAAACUGUAAGAAAAAUGAUCAUGGCCGUCACUGUGGAGCAGAAAGAAGCAACUCUGAACCUCUUACUACCUUAUCAGAGAGCUGAUUUCGAGGGUAUUUUUUGAGCAAUGGAUGAAAGCAGGUCUGCAAUUGAUAUUUUGUUAAAAGCAGCAGGAUACCUUGAUUGUGCAGCAAGGCAAAUGCUUCCUCAAUUUCUUUCCAAACACAGGCGAGACAUGCAUGUGGACCUUACUGGAGGGGUUUUGACUUUUGAGAGCACUUUGCCUUCAACCACUUGAACAGGUUGGGUCGACUUGGAAUCCAGAGUUCUCGGGCGAGUUCACGGUUAGAUCAAUGAGGAAAGCUGUGUUUUCGGACGAUGUAAAUGCAACGCAAGUCAAUAACUUUAUCUGUGCCAGGUGGGUUCUUGCGAAGGUUUUUUGCUCUAUGUGGUGUUUGGUGCAGGAGAUGAUACCAGUCGCCGAUAAUCUUGCUAGAAAGCGCAAAGCGGGUUAUUUUAAUUUCAGCAGAUUACAACUUUUGCUUAUCGAAAGCAGAAUCGUUCGAACACGCGAUUUACAGUUAUUGGGCCUUAAAAAGAUGUGGUGGAAGUUAGCAACAUGGACUGGCUUGGACUGGAUGGGUAAAAGGAGGAAGAUUGGGUGUUAAAAAAAGCUUUAGAGGCAAGAUCAAGCAACCCUUGAAGACAUUCAGAUUCAAUCGUUUAACUGGAUUAAAAGAAGAUCUAGAUGGAAAUAUCUGGACUUGGGAAUAUGGAGAAGAUCACCAAAGGAAUGUAUGUGGAUUGUUGGUAUGGUAAUGUCUUUUGAAUUUGUAUAGGGGCAAGGGGUGCCAUGUAGUUUGGUUGGCUUGGUUGAUUCUCUGUGGGUGUGUAGUUUUUGUUUUAUGUACUCUUUGUUUGUUCUCGCUGAUUCUUUUAUUUAAUUUUAAUUGUGGUUAAAAAGUGACAUCUUUAGUGAUCCGUUUAUUGUAUACACCAUCAAAAUAUAAUCUCAAAACUAAAACUCACUUCCCCUGUCCUUUGAUGGUUAAUGUUUAUCACUCCUGACCACAACGAGGAAGGUGUUAGUGCAUGCAUCUGUCGACUUCGUCUUGUAUCGAGUCUUAGUCUUAGA